RNAcentral lists this long non-coding RNA (1012 nucleotides) under Solanum lycopersicum (tomato). Its description in RNAcentral is "peptidyl-prolyl cis-trans isomerase FKBP16-2, chloroplastic (FKBP16-2)". The record is from RNAcentral. Lineage: Eukaryota; Viridiplantae; Streptophyta; Magnoliopsida; Solanales; Solanaceae.
AUUAAUCAGAUAGCAAUCAAAAGCAAGAAAUGGCAGUUUCUUCACUAUCCUUUACAUUACCUAAGCUUCAAACCUUCACUCCAAAACCCACCAUUGCAGCCACUUUUAAGGCUUCUUCUUCACAUGAAUCAACUCCUUUUAUCAACAAGAAGCAAAUUUUCCAAAUGGGUGUUGGAAUUUUGGCUGCUUCAAUAGUGGCUUCAGCACCUUUAGAUGCUGAUGCUACCAGAAUUGAAUACUAUGCCACUACUGCUGAACCCACUUGUGAGUUCAAUUUUGUCCGUUCUGGACUUGGGUAUUGUGACAUUGCUGUUGGGUCUGGUGAAGAGGCUCCAUAUAAUAAGCUCGUUAAUAUUCACUAUACUGCAAGGUUUGGGGAUGGUAUAGUUUUUGACAGCAGCUAUAAACGUGGUCGAGCCCUUACCAUGCGCCUCGGCAUGGGCAAGGUGAUCAAGGGAUUAGAUCAGGGAAUCUUGGGAGGUGAAGGGGUACCACCAAUGCUAGUUGGUGGAAAACGUAAGCUUCAGAUUCCUCCACAUUUGGCAUAUGGACCAGAACCAGCAGGCUGCUUUUCAGGAGACUGCAAUAUUCCUGGAAAUGCAACACUUGUAUAUGACAUCAAAUUCGUUGAAUUAUACUCGGGAAACAGGAAAAUGUGAUAUGAUGAGAAAUAUGAAGCUCAAACACAACUAGAUCCACCCAGAAUUAGUUUGAAUGAAGAUAUAGAGCAAAAGGUGACAGAAUAUUUUUCUAGAGGGAAUAAAAGUGCCAACUUUCUGGGAUCAUUUCUGAGCUGGUAAUCUAAGUUCCUAACAUUGUGUAUAAUUGACUGUUAUACUUGAUUUAAGCAUGUGCAAACUAGAGGUUUAUGUUCAAAAUACUUGAAAAUCUUGUAUAAUUAUUUUAUGUAUAUUUUGUGACGGAUACUUGAAAAUCGUGUAUAGUUAUAUUAUCUAUAUUUUGUGACGAAUACCGUUGAAAUUAAAUGUAAGUUCAUCGUUCACCUAUAUAA